Oncorhynchus tshawytscha (Chinook salmon) is the source of this 947-nucleotide long non-coding RNA. Lineage: Eukaryota; Metazoa; Chordata; Actinopteri; Salmoniformes; Salmonidae. The record is from Ensembl.
GAAGCCUGUGUUGCUGACUGUAUAUAGGAUGUGUUUUAUCAAAUAUUAAAAUGUUGACAGUGCAUUACAGUGCAAAUAGCAACAGCAGACAAACUCAAACUCCCCUGUUUCUAAUUGUCCACAUGGCUGGAGAACCUAUUCAAUUUUCUGCCCUCAGAUAAAGAUAGUUAUGAAAGCCUGUCUACAGAUGAAGAGGUCCCAAUGAAGAGCAGUGGUUCUCAGUCCUGGUUGUGGGGACUCAAAGGGGCACAUUGUUGUUUUUGCCUUAGUACUGCACAGCUGAUUCAAAUUAUCAACUCAUCAUCAAGCCUCAAGUGAUACCUUGUCACUGGAGAUUCUUUCAAAACGAUUGCCUAAAGUUACCGUGUAACACUGCAAGGUCCGGUGACCAGGGCCAUCUGGGAUUGCCUCCUGGAGGAAUUCAGAAGUGUGAAGGCUACCUGUGUCCUGCAUAACUUCUUGAGGAUGGACAUAAGGACCAGGAGGGGGUGUGCAGCUCGCUGCCGUGUGCUAGAGGAGAAGUGUGGUGCUCUGCAGGAUGUUUCAAGGAUGGGGCCCAACAACACAACAAGAGAGGCAAUCUGUGUGCGGGAGAUCUUCACCUCCUACUUUUUCAAAGAGGGUGCUGUUCCCUGGUAACAGCAUAGACUACACUAUGCACAACCGAAGGCUUUUUUAAGAGCCAUUCACAUUGCAAUAAGAGUAUCCUUCCGUUAACUUAGCUAUAUCAACUGCAGUUAUUAAAUUCUCAGUUUCUCUCCCUUUGUUUUCUACUUCUCAGGUGAGGGGGCUGUUUAGGUAAGGGUGGGAUGUCUGUACAAAAAUAAAACAGGCUAUUUUAAGUCACCCAUAUUGAAAAAAUGUAGAACAAUUAGACACCCUACAACCCACACCUACACACUCAUGUAUCAAUCUGAUUGAUGGAUUGUGUUGUGCAGUAAGCAGGC